GCUGUUUCUUGGAUGCUGCACUUCACAAAUGUACUAAUUGCCCCCAAAAAAGCAAAGAGUAGAUUUUCCUGCCUAGAUGCAUCACUUGGCAUUGACUACACCAUGGAAAGCAAGAGUCUGUCUAUGUGGGCUGGAUUCCUGAACUACAGCUUAGAAGGGAAGGGCGUAGAAUAUCAUCAUUAACUGGCUCACAAGGAAUAGUCAUCUUGGGCGAACACAUGCUAAUACGUUUCACAGAAUGAGGGGUGACAGCCUAGAAUCCAAAAUGUGAUGUUUGGAACAUUUCUCGCCAAACCUUACUAUGAAAGCCUGCAACCAGUGAGAGGAGAACUGCAAAGACGGCAGCAGAGAAACAGCAAACAGCACAAAAGAGAUAAUUUACCAAGAGACUUUCCCUCCUUUCAGAGGCAACCAAGCCAG
This 420-nucleotide long non-coding RNA is filed under the name Homo sapiens (human). RNAcentral's name for it is "non-protein coding lnc-NDUFAB1-1:1". Lineage: Eukaryota; Metazoa; Chordata; Mammalia; Primates; Hominidae. The record is from RNAcentral.